UUGCCUGCCUGCUUGCAUCUCUCCCAAGCAUCCUAACCUAAGAAAUCUAUUUCUUGCCUAUCACUUUGUUUCUCGCUGAAUUCCUUCUGCACAGAGGCAUGAAGAACCUGAACCUCCAUGAGUCCAGACCCAGGGCCGAGGUUCCCUCUGAUCCAUUUUGAGUGCAAGAAGUUUGUCAUUUAAAUGUUUUCAAACUGUGUGGAAUGAGGCCCUAACAAACUGAAGCAGAAGAUACCACCUCUGCAUCCGAGCAUCUGCGUGUCGCUGCAUCUCUUCCUCUGACACCUUUUAAAAAAUUACAUCAAUUAUGUUCAAAUGACACAAAGGAAAAAAAAUAGUCAUUGUCUCUACCAUA
Long non-coding RNA from Sus scrofa (pig), 355 nucleotides. RefSeq lists it as uncharacterized. The record is from RefSeq and is a predicted model, not a curated record. Lineage: Eukaryota; Metazoa; Chordata; Mammalia; Artiodactyla; Suidae.